UAUUACAGAAUAUAGGGGGAAAAUAAGAGAUCCGGAAUUUACGUGGGAUACAUUCUAGAGUCCGUCCAUAUUUAUACGUACGUGCGGUUGUUACAAACUUUGCAUUAUACGACAGGCAAUCUACUUUCUGAGGAGCGAUACAUGUGAUUCCACAAAUCCUUAUAAACGUAGAAACGGAAUGCCUGCCCUUCGUUUGUUGCUACUUGCUAGCGAGAGAGAAAGAAAGAGAGACAGAGACAGAGAAGAGCGUCAUGGAAGAGAGCAGGAACGAAGCCAUUGAUGCAACGCAUGGGACUAACAAAAGGGAGCCUCUUCUGUCUCCAGAUGUUGAGUUGGCGUCGAGAAGCGAUUCAUCGUCGUGGAGACUCAAUCUGCAAGAGUUCCCGGCGCUGCCAGAGAGAAGAGAUGGCGAUCGAGAUUCCUUCAUUCUCCACCGCCUUCUUCGUACCCCAAGGAAACGAAACAAGGUUGCUGAUUAUUAUAAGAAGCAAGAAAGGCUCCUUGAAGGGUUCAACGAGAUGGAGACCAUGACUGAAAAUGGUUGUUUGCCUGAUAGUCUAACAGAGGAUGAGAUGAAGCAGCUUGCAAAAAGUGAGAGGAUGGCAAUCCAUGCAUCAAACAUAGCUAAUGUUGUACUCUUUGCGGCAAAGCUAUAUGCUUCUAUUGAGAGCAGAUCAUUGGCAGUUAUCGCCUCAACCAUGGAUUCACUCUUAGAUCUCUUGUCUGGGUUUAUAUUGUGGUUCACUGCACAUGCCAUGAGAAAACCAAACCAGUAUCACUAUCCAAUUGGAAAGAAACGGAUGCAGCCAGUUGGCAUCAUUGUUUUUGCGUCAGUAAUGGCAACUCUUGGAUUACAAAUACUGAUAGAAUCUGUUCGACAACUCAUUUCAAAGGCCCAGCCUGAAAGGAAUCCCGAGAAGGAGAAAUGGAUGAUUGGAAUAAUGGUCUGCGUAACUGUAGUGAAGUUUGUGCUCAUGGUCUAUUGUCGAAGAUUUAAGAACGAAAUUGUUAGAGCCUAUGCACAAGAUCAUUUAUUCGACGUUGUUACUAAUUCAGUUGGUUUGGCAGCAGCUGUUUUGGCUAUCCGUUUUUACUGGUGGAUUGAUCCUACUGGAGCUAUUAUAAUCGCUUUAUAUACAAUGAAUACUUGGACAAGGACAGUGAUUGAGAAUGUAUGGUCACUAAUCGGAAGAACAGCACCACCUGAAUUUUUGGCAAAGUUAACAUAUCUAAUAUGGAAUCACAAUGAAGACAUCAAGCACAUUGAUACGGUUAGAGCAUACACUUUCGGUUCUCAUUAUUUUGUGGAGGUUGACAUAGUUUUGCCACAAGACAUGCUUCUGAACAAAGCACAUAAUAUUGGUGAGACAUUGCAAGAGAAGCUUGAACAGCUCCCUGAAGUUGAGAGAGCCUUUGUACAUAUAGAUUUCGAGUAUAGUCACAGGCCCGAACACAAGAUCGCGAUCUAAUGGGAAUGAUGACGAUGAUGGUGAUAGUAAUGAUCAGAUCUCAACCUUUCCACGCACCAGUAAGUAUCUUAUUCAAGAUCUGCACAGAAUAGUGCCGAUCUACUUCUUUCUGGCCAUCCAAAACUGCACCACAAGACUUGCCAGCCACCGAUCCUUCGGAUGGCAAAAGAAAAACGUCCAAAAGAGUAGCGUGUGGUCCUCAAGCGUGGCAUUUUUGGGGUCAGGGACCUCAGAUCUCUUAGAUUCAACCAACAUCUAGUCUCCUAGUGUGGCCACCGCAGUUCUUAGCAAUCUCCUACCAGAGAUUUGACGCUUCUCCAACUUGCUAUCUUCCUAUGUUAUUGCUCAUCCUAAUCAAGAAUCAUGGGAAAGAGGUAAUGAAAGUCUUCUUUAGUCAAUCCAGACUAGUGACAUGCAGCACAAAUUCUUAUAUUAUAGUCCGUUUAUCAGACUGUAUCAAAACCGCUUCAGGCGGCUUCCCUUUGUGAGAAAUGGGUGGGGGUCAAGUCCUUGGCCCCAGAUUUCUUUUUUUU
Molecule: RNA transcript, 2002 nt
Organism: Juglans microcarpa x Juglans regia
Lineage: Eukaryota; Viridiplantae; Streptophyta; Magnoliopsida; Fagales; Juglandaceae
Gene name: metal tolerance protein 10-like
Exons: 7
Source: RefSeq, a predicted model, not a curated record